UUCGGUGUCUAUUGCAGUAGGGUCCACCUCUUCCCAUUCCGAACAGAGAAGUUAAGACUACUAGCGCUGAUGGUACUGCCCUAUUGAGGGUGGGAGAGUAAGUCGACGCCACUUUUUAGAAAGCCUUGUUCCAAACGGAAUGAGGCUUUUUUAGUUUAUAG
RNAcentral lists this ribosomal RNA (161 nucleotides) under Lishizhenia tianjinensis. Lineage: Bacteria; Pseudomonadati; Bacteroidota; Flavobacteriia; Flavobacteriales; Crocinitomicaceae. The record is from RNAcentral.